This is a non-coding RNA of Biomphalaria pfeifferi, 327 nucleotides long. NCBI's taxonomy places the organism in Eukaryota, Metazoa, Mollusca, Gastropoda, Planorbidae. The record is from the annotation of a GenBank genome assembly.
UUGGUUAUAAAAUUAUUGCUUUCUGCUUACUAGCUCUACUAUGAACUAGUACGCAAUUUUCUUGCACUGAAAUCUAUGAACAGAUAUAAUGUAUUCCAACAAUGUAGUCGAUGUACCAGGCUGUUUUUUUUUUUAACCAAAAAAAGUCUUAUGGAAAUUUGAUGGAAAAGUCUCAAGUACAUUGAUGUAAUAAUUAGUAAUUUAAAAAAAAUUCUACCACAGUAGCAUCCAAACCCUACAGAAUAUAAUUACAGACAAACAAUAGGACCACGAAAACCACAACGACAAGACAACUUUAGUUGUACAGCUGUAAGAUUGCACCAAGUA